GGAUCAAUUUAUCGGUCGUGCCUCUGGUAUGCACUGGUAUUAUUGAUUUCUACCUUCUGACGAACCAUGAUGUCAUUAAUUUGGUGUCAUGGGGAAUCAGGACUGUUACUUUGAAAAAUUAGAGUGUUUAAAGCAGGCUAACGCUUGAAUACAUUAGCAUGGAAUAAUGAAAUAGGACGAUCGAUCCUAUUUUGUUGGUUUCUAGGAUUGACGUAAUGAUUAAUAGGGAUAGUUGGGC
RNAcentral lists this ribosomal RNA (238 nucleotides) under uncultured Glomeromycotina. RNAcentral describes it as "partial 18S ribosomal RNA". The stretch from base 44 to 238 matches the Rfam family "Eukaryotic small subunit ribosomal RNA", at positions 690 to 887 of the family's 1831-position model. The record is from RNAcentral. Lineage: Eukaryota; Fungi; Glomeromycota.